This 253-nucleotide ribosomal RNA is filed under the name uncultured bacterium. Its description in RNAcentral is "partial 16S ribosomal RNA". It matches the Rfam family "Bacterial small subunit ribosomal RNA", at positions 524 to 776 of the family's 1533-position model. The record is from RNAcentral.
UACGAAGGGGGCGAGCGUUGUUCGGAUUUACUGGGCGUAAAGGGCGCGUAGGCGGCCUUGUCAGUCAGGCGUGAAAGCCCCGGGCUCAACCUGGGAACGGCGCUUGGGAUGGCGAGGCUGGAGUUCGGGAGAGGAGAGUGGAAUUCCCAGUGUAGAGGUGAAAUUCGUAGAUAUUGGGAAGAACACCGGUGGCGAAGGCGGCUCUCUGGACCGACACUGACGCUGAGGCGCGAAAGCGUGGGGAGCAAACAGG